GGGUCGGUAGCUUAGAUAGUAAAGCGCCUGGUUGAAGCCCAGGAGACACGGGUUCGAGCACCGUCAGGCCCA
RNAcentral lists this transfer RNA (72 nucleotides) under Planctomycetota bacterium. RNAcentral describes it as "Planctomycetes bacterium (marine metagenome) tRNA-Phe". It matches the Rfam family "tRNA". From Rfam's summary of the family: Transfer RNA (tRNA) molecules are approximately 80 nucleotides in length. Their secondary structure includes four short double-helical elements and three loops (D, anti-codon, and T loops). The record is from RNAcentral. Lineage: Bacteria; Pseudomonadati; Planctomycetota.